GAUGAACACUGGCGGCGUGCUUAACACAUGCAAGUCGAACGGGAAUUAUUUUAUUGAAACUUCGGUCGAUUUAAUUUAAUUCUAGUGGCGGACGGGUGAGUAACGCGUGGGUAACCUGCCUUAUACAGGGGGAUAACAGUCAGAAAUGGCUGCUAAUACCGCAUAAGCGCACAGAGCUGCAUGGCUCAGUGUGAAAAACUCCGGUGGUAUAAGAUGGACCCGCGUUGGAUUAGCUGGUUGGUGGGGUAACGGCCCACCAAGGCGACGAUCCAUAGCCGGCCUGAGAGGGUGAACGGCCACAUUGGGACUGAGACACGGACCAGACUCCUACGGGAGGCAGCAGUGGGGAAUAUUGCACAAUGGGGGAAAACCUGAUGCAGCGACGCCGCGUGAAGGAAGAAGUAUCUCGGUAUGUAAACUUCUAUCAGCAGGGAAGAUAGUGACGGUACCUGACGAAGAAGCCCCGGCUAACUACGUG
Molecule: ribosomal RNA, 478 nt
Filed under: uncultured bacterium
Lineage: Bacteria
Description: partial 16S ribosomal RNA
Rfam family: Bacterial small subunit ribosomal RNA
Source: RNAcentral